This 347-nucleotide ribosomal RNA is filed under the name uncultured bacterium. RNAcentral describes it as "partial 16S ribosomal RNA". It matches the Rfam family "Bacterial small subunit ribosomal RNA", at positions 338 to 682 of the family's 1533-position model. The record is from RNAcentral.
CCUACGGGUGGCAGCAGUGAGGAAUAUUGGUCAAUGGGCGCGAGCCUGAACCAGCCAAGUAGCGUGAAGGAUGACUGCCCUACGGGUUGUAAACUUCUUGUAUAAAGGAAUAAAGUGAGGCACGUGGGCCGUUUUGUAUGUACUUUAUGAAUAAGGAUCGGCUAACUCCGUGCCAGCAGCCGCGGUAAUACGGAGGAUCCGAGCGUUAUCCGGAUUUAGUGGGUUGAAAGGGAGCGUAGAUGGGUUGUUAAGUCCGUUGUGAAAGUUUGCGGCUCAACCGUAAAAGUGCAUUUGAUACGGGCAGCCUUGCGUACAGUUGAGGUAGGCGGCAUUCGUGGUGUCGCGGU